AAAAUUUAAUGAUUUAUUUAUUUAUUUCAGGAUACUAUUCAAAUCGUGCUUCUUAAGAGAAAUUAACCAGGUCUAGAGAACAUGUCUUUCUGGGCACCAAAAUGAAGACAGAAAUCUUUAGAAUGAAACACUGACUUGAAUGAGAAAUCAUCAGUAACUUGUAAGACCUCUGAACAAAAUAUUAUCACAAUUGCGAUGGACAUAUUGCAAUAAAGCAUUGAUAGAUGUUGAUUUUGUGUCAAUUAACAUAUGGAUUGAGUUUUGGAAUGUUUUAUCGUCAAUCGUGCUCUUUAUUAUUACUGUGAUGUAUUUUUUCAGCACUAACUUUGGUUGUGGCUUGGCAGGAUACAACACUCGCAAGCAUUGCCAAACAGCUUUUAGGUCUCUUCAUAACUUUUAUUUAUCGCACUUAAUUUAUAAAUUGUUACGUUUCAUGUUUCUGUAAUUCUAGAAUAUUCCCACACUUUUAAUUAACUUUAUAUAUCUAUUCAUGUGUACGUGUAACGUUCAUUUUACGGUAUUAUAUAAACAUGCAACACGCCUAACACAUCACAAGUUUGUUUGGUUCUUUGUUAUAUUUUUGGUAAACCCCCCAUAGAUGUCUCUGAAAAAGUUUGUUCCAAUUUAAAAAAGAUGAAUUUUGAAUAUGAUCUAUUUCGAUAACAAUAAUUUAACAGACAUAAUACAAACCGUAAUCAUAUUUUUAAAACUGAAAUUUGAAGUUUGAGUGACUAUACAACUUUAUGUUUAACACUACAUACGAUCGAACAUCUUUAAACAUCUGUAUUUAUGGGUCACUGGGUUCUUUGCAUGUUUCAAAAUGUUUACAUUAAAUCAAUACAUGUAAUGUUCCUUUCUAAUUAGAGAAUUGUAACAGAGUUAUUUUUCAGAGCGUGGUACCUUUUAUGAUAUUAAAAAAAAUUAUUGGCUUUAUGUAUCGCAUUUUAAGGCGUAAUCUUGUAUGAUUUGUAUUAUUUAUUUUUGUAUGUUAGUCUUGAAAAAUAAAGCCGAUUUUAAUCAAGUA
Long non-coding RNA from Limulus polyphemus (Atlantic horseshoe crab), 1024 nucleotides. RefSeq lists it as uncharacterized. The record is from RefSeq and is a predicted model, not a curated record. The transcript has 2 exons. Lineage: Eukaryota; Metazoa; Arthropoda; Merostomata; Xiphosura; Limulidae.